GAUGAACGCUGGCGGCGUGCCUAAUACAUGCAAGUCGAGCGAACGGACGCGACGCUUGCUUCUCUGAUGUUAGCGGCGGACGGGUGAGUCACACGUGUAUAACCUACCUAUAAUACUGGUAUAUCCUCGAGAAACCGGAUCUAAUCCCGGAUAAUCUUUUGCACCGCAUGGUUCAAAAGUGAAAGACGGUCUUGCUGUCACUUCUAGAUGGAUCCGCGCUGCAUUAGCUAGUUGGUAAGGUAACGGCUUACCAAGGCAACGAUGCAUAGCCGACCUGUGAGGGUGAUAGGCCACCCUGGAGGUGAGACACGGACCAGACUCCUACGGGAGGCAGCAGUAGGGAAUCGGCCGCAAUGGGGGAAAGCCUGACGGAGCAACGCCGAGUGAGUGAUGAAGGUGUUCGGAUCGUAAAACUGGGUUAUGAGGGAAGAACAGAUGUGUAAGGAACUGUGCACAGCUUGACGGUACCUAAUCAGAAAGCCACGGCUAACUACGUG
This 497-nucleotide ribosomal RNA is filed under the name uncultured bacterium. RNAcentral's name for it is "partial 16S ribosomal RNA". It matches the Rfam family "Bacterial small subunit ribosomal RNA", at positions 28 to 507 of the family's 1533-position model. The record is from RNAcentral.